RNAcentral lists this non-coding RNA (26 nucleotides) under Homo sapiens (human). The record is from RNAcentral. Lineage: Eukaryota; Metazoa; Chordata; Mammalia; Primates; Hominidae.
UGGGAAGGAAAAUGCCAUCGUGGUUC